This 81-nucleotide transfer RNA is filed under the name Blastomyces gilchristii SLH14081. RNAcentral's name for it is "tRNA-Und (NNN) (tRNA-Und-NNN-44-1)". It matches the Rfam family "tRNA". Rfam says of the family: Transfer RNA (tRNA) molecules are approximately 80 nucleotides in length. Their secondary structure includes four short double-helical elements and three loops (D, anti-codon, and T loops). Further hydrogen bonds mediate the characteristic L-shaped molecular structure. tRNAs have two regions of fundamental functional importance: the anti-codon, which is responsible for specific mRNA codon recognition, and the 3' end, to which the tRNAs corresponding amino acid is attached (by aminoacyl-tRNA synthetases). tRNAs cope with the degeneracy of the genetic code in two manners: having more than one tRNA (with a specific anti-codon) for a particular amino acid; and 'wobble' base-pairing, i.e. permitting non-standard base-pairing at the 3rd anti-codon position. Lineage: Eukaryota; Fungi; Ascomycota; Eurotiomycetes; Onygenales; Ajellomycetaceae. The record is from Rfam by way of RNAcentral.
GCCAGUGUAGCUCAGUUGAUAAGACUGAUAAUCAAGAUUGCACACAUUAGAGGUGCAUGAGUUUGAAUCUCAUCACUGGCA